GGGGAUAUGGCGACGGGUGAGUACACGUGGGCAAUCUGCCCUUCCUCUGGGACAAGCCCUGGAAACGGGGUCUAAUACCGGAUAACACCGGCUUCCGCAUGGGAGCUGGUUGAAAGCUCCGGCGGUGAAGGAUGAGCCCGCGGCCUAUCAGCUUGUUGGUGGGGUAAUGGCCUACCAAGGCGACGACGGGUAGCCGGCCUGAGAGGGCGACCGGCCACACUGGGACUGAGACACGGCCCAGACUCCUACGGGAGGCAGCAGUGGGGAAUAUUGCACAAUGGGCGAAAGCCUGAUGCAGCGACGCCGCGUGAGGGAUGACGGCCUUCGGGUUGUAAACCUCUUUCAGCAGGGAAGAAGCGAAAGUGACGGUACCUGCAGAAGAAGCGCCGGCUAACUACGUGCCAGCAGCCGCGGUAAUACGUAGGGCGCAAGCGUUGUCCGGAAUUAUUGGGCGUAAAGAGCUCGUAGGCGGCUUGUCACGUCGGGUGUGAAAGCCCGGGGCUUAACCCCGGGUCUGCAUCCGAUACGGGCAGGCUAGAGUGUGGUAGGGGAGAUCGGAAUUCCUGGUGUAGCGGUGAAAUGCGCAGAUAUCAGG
Molecule: ribosomal RNA, 595 nt
Filed under: Streptomyces sp. MBT21
Lineage: Bacteria; Bacillati; Actinomycetota; Actinomycetes; Kitasatosporales; Streptomycetaceae
Description: bacterial SSU rRNA
Rfam family: Bacterial small subunit ribosomal RNA
Source: RNAcentral